UGGGGAAUUUUGGACAAUGGGGGCAACCCUGAUCCAGCCAUCCCGCGUGUGCGAUGAAGGCCUUCGGGUUGUAAAGCACUUUUGGCAGGGAAGAAACAGCCUGGGAUAAUAGCCCGGGCGACUGACGGUACCUGCAGAAUAAGCACCGGCUAACUACGUGCCAGCAGCCGCGGUAAUACGUAGGGUGCAAGCGUUAAUCGGAAUUACUGGGCGUAAAGCGUGCGCAGGCGGUUCGGAAAGAAAGGUGUGAAAUCCCAGGGCUUAACCUUGGAACUGCACUUUUAACUACCGAGCUAGAGUACGUCAGAGGGGGGUAGAAUUCCACGUGUAGCAGUGAAAUGCGUAGAGAUGUGGAGGAAUACCGAUGGCGAAGGCAG
RNAcentral lists this ribosomal RNA (377 nucleotides) under uncultured bacterium. RNAcentral describes it as "partial 16S ribosomal RNA". It matches the Rfam family "Bacterial small subunit ribosomal RNA", at positions 355 to 724 of the family's 1533-position model. The record is from RNAcentral.